UACGUAGGGGGCAAGCGUUGUCCGGAUUAUUGGGCGUAAAGAGCUCGUAGGCGGUUCCGUAAGUCGAGUGUGAAAAAUCUGGGCUCAACCCAGUGGAGCACUCGAUACUGCGGUGACUAGAGUACGGUAGAGGAGUGUGGAAUUCCUGGUGUAGCGGUGAAAUGCGCAGAUAUCAGGAGGAACACCAACGGCGAAGGCAGCACUCUGGGCCGGUACUGACGCUGAGGAGCGAAAGCUAGGGUAGCGAACGGG
Molecule: ribosomal RNA, 252 nt
Filed under: uncultured bacterium
Lineage: Bacteria
Description: partial 16S ribosomal RNA
Rfam family: Bacterial small subunit ribosomal RNA
Source: RNAcentral